Molecule: RNA transcript, 6653 nt
Organism: Hydractinia symbiolongicarpus
Lineage: Eukaryota; Metazoa; Cnidaria; Hydrozoa; Anthoathecata; Hydractiniidae
Gene name: fibropellin-1-like
Exons: 20
Source: RefSeq, a predicted model, not a curated record
AGUAAAUCCAUAUACAAAUUUUGUCCUAAAUUUAUGGUAUCUCACAAUCAAAACAGGAAAUUUUAUCAUAAAAAGCCUAAAAUAAGACAGUAAUUAACUAUAAGAGUACCCUGGUUUAUUUAGGCAUUCAAUAACAGUGCAAAAACAUUUGAAAAAAACGUUUAUAUAUUUGUACAGCCCGUAACAUCGGUAUGAACCUAAUGAAAACUGAUCAGUGAAGCAUAACAAAUUAAAUCUUGUACCUCACUUUCUGCAUGUUCACCUGUUUUUUAUUUGUUCAGAAUAUGAAGAAAAAUAUCCGAUUUUUAAAUUGGGUAGGUAAUAUUUAUCAUUUUUGAAUCCAGUUCAAUUAAUUGUAAAAUGGUUUACAUGUAGUAUGGAAAGUUAUAAAAAUGUUUCAGUUCGUCGAAUGCUGGAUUUAGAAUUUUCUUUGCGAUACUUUUAAGUACACAGUUGUACCUGGUGUGAAAUCAAUGCGUGCUCGUGAUAAACUGUUAAUUCAAGCAGUUCCAUGAUGAGACACUAUUACAAUGUACUGCUUGUUCUUUUUCUCUCCUGCCAUCUCUGCAGGUGUAGUAACUCAACAAAGACGAUGCAUAAUCAAACUCUAGAAGAAAUUAAAACUCACGGUGGUACGAAACACUCAGAUCCGCAUUCUAAGAAAAAACAUAAAAAAGUAAAAUAUAACCUUUCAAAUGUUUUUAACCAAUUGCAACCAGAUACAUAUGAACCUUCGCAAAACACUUCAGCAAAUAGAAACACGACAAAGAAAUUUGAUAUUUUACAACAGGUUUAUAGUCGAUUAGCUGCUAAUAGAGGAAGGCCAAGUAAUGACAUAAUUAAUCUUCCAGGUGCUAUUCAUGUGUACGGACCACCUCCCAAACACAAAAUGGGAGCACCACAGCUACCCGAAGCUGCGGAGCCAUUUCGUGUUGUGGCAACGCCACACUUAAACAAAAUCAACCCCUUUAAUAGCGCAGGUAGUUUUAUGCAACAGAGGUUUAAUUAUCACAGAAAAAUGCCUUUUCAUUACUUUCAAAAUAGAAGACCUUACGUUUUUAACACAAGACCGGAACAUAUGUAUAUGCCAUAUACGCAUCAUUAUCACAGGGAAGAGUUUCAUCCGUUUAUGUCAUCAAGAGGAACGUCAAAUAUACCAGAAAACAGAAUUUUUCACGAAAUGCAGCAGCCAGAUCAAACUUUUAAUAACAAUAUGAUAAGUCCAAUACAAACACCAGUAUAUAAUAGGGCAAUGAAUGAAGGCGUUCAAAAUUUUAUAGGAAGGCAGGAUUUGAAAGACAUUUCUGAAUUUGAUGGUCACAGAGAACCUCAUGAAUUCACAGAGGGUCCGAGUAUGAUACAAGGAGGUUUAAUGGGCAGAGAAAUAAGUCCUAUGGUAGUUACAGGGCCAACCGAAAGAAAUAUAAAUUUGCACGAACCUAAUAUUAUACCUAUACAGCAACAGAUAUAUAAUCCAGGUCCGGAACAUCACCGAUUUGAGCCCGGACAAGAAUUAACUGUUGGUCCUCAGCAAGAAUUCACCAGUAAAACAACGGACCAUUUUUAUCCUAAACCGAAAACAUACGAGAUGCAAAAUCCAGGUGUUAUAACAAGCCCUGAGGAAGAAAAUCAAUUUGUUCCGUCUUCGUCUAAAGAUAUACAAGGUAACAUUGAUGUUCAAAGUCAAACUGGCCAAAGUAACGAUAUAAUAUAUCAAGAUGGGAUUGAUCAACAGCCAGUACAACACGUGUUUCAUAACCAUCAUCAAGUCACCAAGCACCAUCACUAUUUAAAAGCACGCUGCUACCCAAACCCCUGCAGAAACUCUGGAACAUGCACUGCACUUGAGCAUGGGUAUGAAUGUACGUGCAGUAUUGGUUUCAAAGGUGUUCACUGUGAAGAAAUUAAUCCUUGUCAACCGAAUCCAUGCAAAAAUGGCGGAUAUUGUUAUGAGACAGGAGAAGGGUAUAAAUGCACUUGCAUAAAAGGAUAUAAAGGAGAAUAUUGCGAAUUUCUUGACAGAUGUCAUCCCAGUCCAUGUCACAACGGUGGCAAGUGUGUUGAAGUUGAGGAUGAUUUUCACUGCUCAUGUCCAGCUUCUUUCAGAGGACGAUAUUGUGAAGGUAUGGAUUAUUGCUCAGGCAAACCUUGUAAGAAUGGGGGCAGCUGCAUCAACGUGGAUGACAAGUAUGAAUGUGUGUGUGGAGAAAAUGCAAAAGGUGAAAAUUGUGAAGAUGUUGAUCAUUGUCAUAGUUCACCUUGUCAAAAUGGUGGACAGUGCACUGGUUCAUCUACUGGAUUUACUUGCUCUUGUCCAGAAAGAUAUUUGGGACCAACAUGCCAUGAGCAUGAAAGUUAUUGCGAACCAAGUCCUUGUAACAACAAUGGAAAGUGUAUAGAAACUGAGUAUGGUUACAAAUGCAGCUGCCCAGUCGGUUUCCAUGGUGACACAUGUGCAGAGAUGAGUCACUGUGCUUCGAAUCCGUGUUUAAACAAUGGGGCGUGUAUUGAUACAAAACAUGGCUUUCAAUGUGUCUGUUCACAUAACUAUUUUGGUGAAAAGUGUGAAAAUCCACACCAUUCCUGUUCUCAUUGUGAUCCAAACGCAGCAUGCAUUAAGGAGAACUGUGUUUGUUUGUCGGGUUAUGUUGGAAAUGGUCGUGUUUGUGAAGCCACGUCACAAUGUCAUCCAAACCCGUGCGAGAACGGUGGCACGUGUCAUGAUCGUGACAUUGGUUUUGUUUGUAACUGCGCUGGAGGUUUUGUUGGACACAAGUGCGAAGAGAUGAAUCCAUGCUUCUAUAGUCCAUGUAAAAAUGAUGGUCGUUGUAAUUACAUUGGAGGAGGAGAAUAUGAUUGCGCAUGCUCUGGCUCCUUUACAGGCCGUCAUUGUGAAGAUCACAAUCCAUGCUAUCCCAACCCGUGUCGUUAUGGUGGAGCAUGCCAUGUUCAUGAGAACACUUUUCAAUGUGGGUGCAAGAAUAGAUAUAAAGGCGAUUAUUGUGAAGUAGACCGUUGCGCGUCAUGCGAUGACCACGCAUAUUGCGAUGAUGGUGCGUGUCAUUGUCACACGGGAUACAUUGGAAAUGGAUUAUUAGGCGAUUGUCACAUUUCUGAAGUCACAUCGACCACAGUUAUAUCACACGCGCCAUGCAUACAAAACCCGUGUCACAACGGUGGGACAUGUGUCGACCAAGCAGAUGACAAGUACAAAUGCGUGUGUAAGAUUGGUUACGAAGGGAAAAAUUGCGAAGAAAAAGAACAGAAAGGUGCGGCUGAUCCUUGUUCAUCCAACCCAUGUCAAAAUGGCGCCACUUGUAUAAACGAAGGAGACAGCGUAACAUGUAAAUGCACAGAUGGAUAUUUUGGUAGAUAUUGUGAGAACGGCGGACGACCUGUUCAAUCUGCUCCACCCAUGUCCGCACCCACGGAUGCUAUGACAACAUUGAAAACGAAUCCUUGUCACCCUAAUCCCUGUCAAAACGGAGGCACAUGUCAUGACUUCGACUCGGGAAGAAACUAUAAAUGCAUAUGCUCAGUUGGAUUUGACGGCUCACAUUGUCAAGAGGAUGUUUGUUCAGAAUGUGAUGUACAUGCCUAUUGUCUCCAUGGGAAAUGCCAUUGUCGUCUUGGUUUCCAAGGUGACGGUUACGAGUGUCUGAUAGUAACCUGUGAUCAUUGUCACCCUCAUGCCACAUGUCUUAUCGGUGUAUGCACGUGCAAUAAUGGAUGGUCUGGCAACGGACAACACUGUUCAAGAAAAUCAAGUAAAGUACGACUCACUGGUCUUGCUGCUUCGAAUGCAUUGGGAGGAAAACUUCCCAUGUUUGUUAUCGGAAAAAGUGCUAACCUCGUUGCUUUAAGCACAUCAAAUCAUUGCCAUGUAAGUACACUAAUCAAGCAAAAAGUUGGAUGGAUAGUCAUAUUUUCACACGCUGGCUUACAGAACUGGACAGAAAAAUGAUCGAAGAAGAAAGGAAAAUUGCAAUAAUAGUUGAUAAUUGUCCUGCGCACCCUCAUGUCGAGGGACUCCAGGCACUAGAGUUGAUUUCCUUCCUCCUAAUACAACCUCUAAAUUACAGCCAAUGGACCAGGGAGUGAUUAGAUCGUUAAAGGCGAAAUAUAGGUGCGCUGUUAUUAAGUUAUACAUCAAUCGCAUUGAAAGUGGUCAAGAAUUACCAAAGAUAAGCAUUUUAGAUGCAAGCAUGGAACCGAGUUACCAAGGAUACAGUCCAAAAUUGUUUUAAACGUGGUGGAAUUUCCAAGUAUGCCUAAGCAGAUGCAAUAGAAGAAAUAGAUGAUCCGUUUAAAUCACUCCAAUCCGAUUAGGAUGAGCUGCGAUUACUUGACCAAUCAUUGGUUCCUGAUGAAGCAACUGCCGAACAUUAUACUGACACCGAUGAAAAUCUAGUUGUACCAGAGUCUGUACUGAUUGACGACAUAGAAAUUUUAGGUCAGUACAGGGAAACCCCAAACGUAGAUGACGAUACUAACGAUACUAACGAUGAUCUGAAAUAUACGUAGCUAUGGAAUUACUUCAGGAAUGCAGUCUUUUUGAGGAGGAAGAGGUAGCAUUCAAUAUGAGAAGGCAUCUGGAGCAGUUCAAUCUAGUAUGCGAUAAAUGUCAAGAAUCGAAAAAGCAACAAACAACCAUUGAAAAUUUCUUUCAUAGACUUUGAUUCUCUAUGUAACUGUUUAUGUAACUCUUUAUGAUUAUUAAACUAAGCAAUACUAAAAAAUCGUGAAUUUAUCAGAUUUAAACCCAUUUAUGAAAAGUUCGCUUUAACGAAAAAAAUCAUGUGAUGUUGGUUUUGCUGUUGAAAUAUGAUUUGCAACACUUUCUUUGGAAGCAAUGUUUGCAGCAGGUCUUGGUUUUUGAGUGUAGGGAAGUGUAGUUGAAAGGGAAGGGGAAUAUAUACAAUAUUUAAAUUGAAAGAUUAGUGUGAUAUAUGUACAUUAUAACUAUGUUUUACCUGGUUGCAGGCAAAGUUGUUUGUGGUAAAUUGAGGUGUGGUAUCGAACCAGGUAACAUUCUUUUCCUCUUUUCAUCUAUAGCAAAAGAAGUCAUCUAGAAUUGGUUCCUAGUAAGUUUAAUUUACUUUGAACAAUUUGUUGCUCAGAAAAAUGUUUUUCACAAAUUUAAGGGUGCAAUUUUCAAUUUGUGUCUUUAAAAGAUUGUCCACCACUGCAUCUUUUGCUUGUGAUAACAGCUACACGUUUUUCCCUCCAAGAGAAUCUAUAUACGUCAUUUCCUUUGGGUAAUCGUACAAUUUUUACGUCUGGAACUCGAGCAGCCAUAUAUAGAACAAUUUGCCCCAAGAACAACAUUGCAUUCAAUCUCAACGUUUAAAGUAUAGCACAGUAAUGACCCAGCCGGCACAAAGAGCUCUAAAAGACGUCUUUUAGACAUCUUCCGCAUUUCUAAAAGACGUAAUGUCAACAAACGAAUGUUGAAUUUUGCCGCUAAAAAGUUUUAUUUCGUACACGCUAAAAUAGACUGGGUAUGAGGAAAUUCUGGAACACAACCUCGAUACGGGGAGCGAAGCGUGCUUGCUGCAAUGCCCAGACUAUCUCUCUUUCUUAUGACUAUGGUUUAAACAUCGGGUACGCGUAACCGGCCCCUAAGAAAUAUCAAUCAUGGAAUUGAGGUAAAAAAAAACACUCACCACGUCUGCGCGAUUUUAUCUAAGAUUUAUUCAAACCUAAUGCGACCUAACCUAAGAUUCUCCACACACCUCCCUAUAUUAAUACUAGCUGUAUUCUGUCUGUCUGCAAAAACAGACGUCGUGUUACUGAAACUGACUCCACCGUACAUUUAUUGAAUUCACUUUUCUUGCUUAAUUGGGACCUAAUAAAGAUUUGGGUUGCUCUUAGUGUCAAAUUUUUCUCACAAAAAAUUUAGUUUAAAUCUUUAUUAUCACAUUCAAAACAGUUUUUGAGUUGCAAAAAUACUUUUGUGAAUUCAAGCGUUAAGAAUGCAUCAUACAGAACACGAGUUUAAAAACACGCCAAGCGCAUGGGCAACAUGAGGCUAAAAUAACUGAGACCGUCUUUCACUGAUAAUGUUUGCGGACUGUAUUGCUACGUUCUUCACAGUGCUCGUUAUUUUCCCACAAACUUAUGUGUUUCACAGAGGGAGACUUUCCAAUUGGCUAAAAGGAUCGAAUAAUACAGCAAUAGCAUGUCAGGAUGAACCAAUCAACAUCAUAUGUAACGAUUACGAAGGCAUUCGGGUGAGCGAUGCGUUCUGGGGACGUGAUAAUAAAAUAGAUUGCCAAGUUGACGAUCCUUUGUCAUCGCAAAGUGACAAAGAAAUGUGUUCUCCGUUUGAUCAUGAUUAUGCAUACAGAAAAGUCUCUGAAGUGUGUCAAGGUUAUCAAGAAUGUUCACUAGUGGGUUCAUCUUUGUACUUUGAUACAGAGCUCUGUCCACACGUCAAAAAAUACGCACGCAUUAAAUACGAAUGCAGAGAAAUGAGUGGUAUGCGCAGAUCAAUGGUCUUAAAACGUUUUAAACACAAAAAAACAGUUUCUUGAGGACAGAUUUGACGCGGUUGGAUUAUCUGGAUUUUAAAAACAUACUUCAGUUGUUACAUUGUUGUAUUAUCUUACGCCAUCGCUAGAUGGAAAAAAAGUAACUACAGAAAAGCGCCA